CUCAAAACUAGCCUAACCAAUUAUUAAACAUAACCCCAUUAAUUAAAUUCACACUCUUCCAAAAAUUAAAACAUUUUACAACUUUUAGUAUGGGUGACAGAACAAAGACUAAGCGCAAUAGAUUUGAGUACCGCAAGGGAAAGUUGAAAAAGAAAUGAAAUAAAUAAUUAAAGUACAAAAAAGCAGAGAUUAAACCUCGUACCUUUUGCAUCAUGAUUUAGCUAGACCAACUAGGCAAAGAGACCUUAAGCCUAUCAUCCCGAAACUAGACGAGCUACUCCGGAGCAGCAUGAAAGAGCAAACCCAUCUCUGUGGCAAAAGAGUGGGAAGACUCCCGAGUAGCGGUGACAAACCUAUCGAGCCUAGUGAUAGCUGGUUACCCAAAAAAAGAACUUCAAUUCUGCAUUAACUUUUUUAAUGUCAACUAAGAACAUCUCCAAAAGACUGAACAUAAAAAUUAAUAGUUAUUCAAAAAAGGUACAACUUUUUUGAAUCAAGAUACAACUUUUCAAGGUGGGUAAUGAUCAUAUUUACCAAGGACCAUUCCAUCAGUGGGCCUAAAAGCAGCCAUCUGUAAAGCAAGCGUCAUAGCUCCAGCCCAUAAUGAAACCUAUAAUUUAGAUAUUAUUUCCAAACCCCCUUAACCAAUAUUGGGUUAUUUUAUAAGAUUAUAAAAGAACUUAUGCUAAAAUGAGUAAUAAGAGGCUAAACCUCUCCCAACACCAGUGUAUAUCAGAAAGAAUUAAAUCACUGAUAAUUAAACGACCUCAAACUGAGAAAAUUAUAGAAAUUUAUUAUUAACUAGAAAAACCUAUUUAAUUACUCGUUAAUCCUACACAGGAGUGUUAUAAGGAAAGAUUAAAAGAAAAUAAAGGAACUCGGCAAACAUAAACUCCGCCUGUUUACCAAAAACAUCGCCUCUUGUUUUACCAUUAUAAGAGGUCCCGCCUGCCCUGUGACAAUGUUUAACGGCCGCGGUAUUUUGACCGUGCGAAGGUAGCGUAAUCACUUGUCUUUUAAAUGAAGACCCGUAUGAAAGGCAUCACGAGAGUUUAACUGUCUCUAUUUUCUAAUCAAUGAAAUUGAUCUUCCCGUGCAGAAGCAGGAAUAUUAUCAUUAGACGAGAAGACCCUAUGGAGCUUCAAACACUUAAGCUAAUUUAUGUAAAAUAUUAUUUCCCAUGGGUAUAAACAUUUAUACUCUACUUCUAACUUAACUGUUUUCGGUUGGGGUGACCAAGGAGGAGAAGAAAGCCUCCUUAUCGACUGAGUAUUUAAUACUUAAAAAAUAGAAUAACAAUUCUAAUUAAUAAAACAUUUAUCGAAAAAUGACCCAGAAUUAAUCUGAUCAAUGAACCAAGUUACCCUAGGGAUAACAGCGCAAUCCUUUCCUAGAGUCCCUAUCGCCGAAAGGGUUUACGACCUCGAUGUUGGAUCAGGACAUCCUAAUGGUGCAACCGCUAUUAAGGGUUCGUUUGUUCAACGAUUAACAGUCCUACGUGAUCUGAGUUCAGACCGGAGAAAUCCAGGUCAGUUUCUAUCUAUGAACUUAUUUUUCCUAGUACGAAAGGACCGGAAAAAUGGAGCCAAUAUUCCAAGUAAGCUCCUUUUUCAUCUACUGAAAUUAUCUAAAGUAGAUAAGAAAAAAUUAUACAAAACCCAAGAUAAGGGUUAUUAAGGU
Molecule: ribosomal RNA, 1680 nt
Filed under: Hexanchus griseus
Lineage: Eukaryota; Metazoa; Chordata; Chondrichthyes; Hexanchiformes; Hexanchidae
Description: 16S ribosomal RNA
Rfam family: Bacterial large subunit ribosomal RNA
Source: RNAcentral